CUACCCAAUGUGAACACUUCCUUUUAGUUGACAACAGCGAGUGUAAAGAGGCAGUGAGUACAACUAGCAAAAAUACUACACAGCAGGAAACUGUACACAAGACAACGGGUAAACAUUUAGCUUAGCAACUCUUACCUGAAGUCGAAUGUGUCGUGCAUAACCAAGGUUAGUGUUCACAGGAGUACACACAGCAUGCACUCUGGAUGGUCCAUUUCAUUGUCCUGCAGCCACGUACACUGUAUAUGACUAAGAUUUGAAGGCAGAUGUGGAUUCAGUGAAACUUUGUCAUCAAUCCCCCAGUCCAUCCAUGUGUAUAAUUUUCUUCAAGUUUGACCCC
Long non-coding RNA from Epinephelus fuscoguttatus (brown-marbled grouper), 337 nucleotides. RefSeq lists it as uncharacterized. Lineage: Eukaryota; Metazoa; Chordata; Actinopteri; Perciformes; Serranidae. The transcript is spliced from 3 exons. The record is from RefSeq and is a predicted model, not a curated record.